This 253-nucleotide ribosomal RNA is filed under the name uncultured bacterium. Its description in RNAcentral is "partial 16S ribosomal RNA". It matches the Rfam family "Bacterial small subunit ribosomal RNA", at positions 524 to 776 of the family's 1533-position model. The record is from RNAcentral.
UACGUAGGGUGCGAGCGUUGUCCGGAAUUACUGGGCGUAAAGAGCUCGUAGGUGGUUUGUCGCGUUGUUCGUGAAAACUCACAGCUUAACUGUGGGCGUGCGGGCGAUACGGGCAGACUGGAGUACUGCAGGGGAGACUGGAAUUCCUGGUGUAGCGGUGAAAUGCGCAGAUAUCAGGAAGAACACCCGUGGCUAAGGCGGCUCUCUAGUACGGUACUGACGCUGAGACGCGAAAGCGUGGGGAGCGAACAGG